UGGGGAAUCUUGCACAAUGGGGGCAACCCUGAUGCAGCGACGCCGCGUGAGCGAUGAAGCCCUUCGGGUCGUAAAGCUCUUUCGACCGGAACGAUAAUGACGGUACCGGGAGAAGAAGCUGCGGCUAACUACGUGCCAGCAGCCGCGGUAAUACGUAGGCAGCAAGCGUUGUUCGGAGUUACUGGGCGUAAAGAGUGCGUAGGCGGUUUUCUAAGUUCGGUGUGAAAUCUCCCGGCUUAACUGGGAGGGUGCGCCGAAGACUGGGAGGCUGGAGUGUGGGAAAGGCGGGCGGAAUUCCUGGUGUAGCGGUGAAAUGCGUAGAUAUCAGGAGGAACACCGGCGGUGUAGACGGCUUGCUAGACCAUAACUGACGCUGAGGCACGAAAGCGUGGGUAGCAAACA
Molecule: ribosomal RNA, 402 nt
Filed under: uncultured bacterium
Lineage: Bacteria
Description: bacterial SSU rRNA
Rfam family: Bacterial small subunit ribosomal RNA
Source: RNAcentral